AUGCCAGUGCAUCAAGAUGCUGCCCGGUACCGUACCGUUUUCCCAGCAUUUUCUUCCCACCAUCCAGCUGGUGUCCAAUCCCAAAUUAGAUUUGACCAGUCCAGUCCUGAACUUAAAAGGCCUGGAGAAUCAGUGAGGCUCACCUGUAAGGCAUUUGGAUAUACAUUUACCAGCUAUGCAAUGUUCUGGAUCAGGCAGGCACCAGGGAAAGGACUGGAGUGGGUUGGACGUAUUAGGACAGACAACUUUGAGACACGCUAUGCGCAAGUUCUGGAAGGUCGAGUCACCAUCACCGUGGACACCUCCAUCAGCACCACAUCCCUGCAGCUGGCCAACCUGAAAGCUGAAGACACGGCUGUAUAUUACUGUGCAAGAGACACAGUGUGGAAAACCUCAUGUAAAGACUAA
Molecule: non-coding RNA, 408 nt
Organism: Eublepharis macularius
Lineage: Eukaryota; Metazoa; Chordata; Lepidosauria; Squamata; Eublepharidae
Source: the annotation of a RefSeq genome assembly